GAUGAAGAACGUAGUGAAAUGCGAUAAGUAGUGUGAAUUGCAGAAUUCAGUGAAUCAUCGAAUCUUUGAACGCACAUUGCGCCCCUUGGUAUCCCGAGGGGCAUGCCUGUUCGAGCGUCAUUUCACCACUCAAGCCUGGCUUGGUGUUGGGCGACGUCCCCUUUAGGGACGCGCCUCGAAACGCUCGGCGGCGUGGCACCGGCUUUAAGCGUAGCAGAAUCUUUCGCUUUGGAAGUCGGGGCCCCGCCUGCCGGAAUACCUACUCGUAAGGUUGACCUCGGAUCAGGCAGGGAUACCCGCUGAACUUAAGCAUAUCAAUAAGCGGAGGA
This 329-nucleotide unclassified non-coding RNA is filed under the name soil metagenome. Its description in RNAcentral is "partial contains 5.8S ribosomal RNA, internal transcribed spacer 2, and large subunit ribosomal RNA". The stretch from base 1 to 120 matches the Rfam family "5.8S ribosomal RNA", at positions 35 to 154 of the family's 154-position model. The record is from RNAcentral.